AUCCAGCUGACAAGUCCCAAAUAGGACGAAGUGUCGCACGUCCUGGAU
Molecule: non-coding RNA, 48 nt
Filed under: Schistosoma mansoni
Lineage: Eukaryota; Metazoa; Platyhelminthes; Trematoda; Strigeidida; Schistosomatidae
Source: RNAcentral